GUGGGGAAUAUUGCGCAAUGGGCGAAAGCCUGACGCAGCGACGCCGCGUGAGGGAUGAAGGUUUUCGGAUCGUAAACCUCUGUCAGAAGGGAAGAAACUACAUUGUGCUAAUCAGCAGUGUACUGACGGUACCUUCAAAGGAAGCACCGGCUAACUCCGUGCCAGCAGCCGCGGUAAUACGGAGGGUGCAAGCGUUAAUCGGAAUUACUGGGCGUAAAGCGCACGUAGGCUGUAGUGUAAGUCAGGGGUGAAAUCCCACGGCUCAACCGUGGAACUGCCUUUGAUACUGCACAACUUGAAUCCGGGAGAGGGUGGCGGAAUUCCAGGUGUAGGAGUGAAAUCCGUAGAUAUCCGGAGGAACACCGGUGGCGAAGGCGGCCACCUGGACAGGUACUGACGCUGAGGCGCGAAAGCGUGGGGAGCAAACAGGAUUAGAAACCCCGGUAGUCC
RNAcentral lists this ribosomal RNA (450 nucleotides) under uncultured bacterium. Its description in RNAcentral is "partial 16S ribosomal RNA". It matches the Rfam family "Bacterial small subunit ribosomal RNA", at positions 354 to 796 of the family's 1533-position model. The record is from RNAcentral.